Molecule: ribosomal RNA, 1372 nt
Filed under: uncultured bacterium
Lineage: Bacteria
Description: bacterial SSU rRNA
Rfam family: Bacterial small subunit ribosomal RNA
Source: RNAcentral
GAUGAACGCUGGCGGCGUGCCUAAUACAUGCAAGUCGAGCGAACGGACGAGAAGCUUGCUUCUCUGAUGUUAGCGGCGGACGGGUGAGUAACACGUGGAUAACCUACCUAUAAGACUGGGAUAACUUCGGGAAACCGGAGCUAAUACCGGAUAAUAUUUUGAACCGCAUGGUUCAAAAGUGAAAGACGGUCUUGCUGUCACUUAUAGAUGGAUCCGCGCUGCAUUAGCUAGUUGGUAAGGUAACGGCUUACCAAGGCAACGAUGCAUAGCCGACCUGAGAGGGUGAUCGGCCACACUGGAACUGAGACACGGUCCAGACUCCUACGGGAGGCAGCAGUAGGGAAUCUUCCGCAAUGGGCGAAAGCCUGACGGAGCAACGCCGCGUGAGUGAUGAAGGUCUUCGGAUCGUAAAACUCUGUUAUUAGGGAAGAACAUAUGUGUAAGUAACUGUGCACAUCUUGACGGUACCUAAUCAGAAAGCCACGGCUAACUACGUGCCAGCAGCCGCGGUAAUACGUAGGUGGCAAGCGUUAUCCGGAAUUAUUGGGCGUAAAGCGCGCGUAGGCGGUUUUUUAAGUCUGAUGUGAAAGCCCACGGCUCAACCGUGGAGGGUCAUUGGAAACUGGAAAACUUGAGUGCAGAAGAGGAAAGUGGAAUUCCAUGUGUAGCGGUGAAAUGCGCAGAGAUAUGGAGGAACACCAGUGGCGAAGGCGACUUUCUGGUCUGUAACUGACGCUGAUGUGCGAAAGCGUGGGGAUCAAACAGGAUUAGAUACCCUGGUAGUCCACGCCGUAAACGAUGAGUGCUAAGUGUUAGGGGGUUUCCGCCCCUUAGUGCUGCAGCUAACGCAUUAAGCACUCCGCCUGGGGAGUACGACCGCAAGGUUGAAACUCAAAGGAAUUGACGGGGACCCGCACAAGCGGUGGAGCAUGUGGUUUAAUUCGAAGCAACGCGAAGAACCUUACCAAAUCUUGACAUCCUUUGACAACUCUAGAGAUAGAGCCUUCCCCUUCGGGGGACAAAGUGACAGGUGGUGCAUGGUUGUCGUCAGCUCGUGUCGUGAGAUGUUGGGUUAAGUCCCGCAACGAGCGCAACCCUUAAGCUUAGUUGCCAUCAUUAAGUUGGGCACUCUAAGUUGACUGCCGGUGACAAACCGGAGGAAGGUGGGGAUGACGUCAAAUCAUCAUGCCCCUUAUGAUUUGGGCUACACACGUGCUACAAUGGACAAUACAAAGGGCAGCGAAACCGCGAGGUCAAGCAAAUCCCAUAAAGUUGUUCUCAGUUCGGAUUGUAGUCUGCAACUCGACUACAUGAAGCUGGAAUCGCUAGUAAUCGUAGGUCAGCAUGCUACGGUGAAUACGUUCCCGGGUCU